GUUUUUUUAAAUUUAGAAUAAACCACCAAUUGUAAGAUUGAUCUUACCAUUUACAAUAAGAUUAAAAAUAAAAUAUAAAGCAAACUUUAUUUAACAAAUUAUCAUAAUGAAAUAUUUAAUAACAAGAACUUUACAUAGUUGACACUUUAUCAUCAUAAUCAAUAAUAACAAUUUCUAUGAUUAAUAGGCAUACCACAUAAAUAGCCAUGAGCAGAGAAUUAAUAUACCAGUAAGUAAUAACAAUAAGUCUGUAUUAAUCUAGACAAGAUUGGUGCAAUACUACCAAUUUUUAUUAUAUAUUAUUCCAAUGAUUGGAAAAAUCAGUAGUUUCUAUAUUUUUAAGUAAUAAUUUUAUUUUUUAUUUCAGUCAUUAUAUUUUUGCGAUAGUUGUUCAAAUAAAAGUUGGGGAAGCCAGAAAUAAAAUAUAAAUGACUUAAUUAUGGUUUUCUUUUCUCUCAAGGCAUUUUUUACAAUAUCAAAUGUUCACAAUAGAAUAUAUGCUAGUUUUUAAAUACAAACCUACUUGUUUUAGGGAUAUAGCUAAUAAUUAUUUUCAAUCUUAAAAAACUGGAGGUCUGAGACCUGGAAUUGAAUCCAGAUCCUUCAAAAUAAUAAGCAAAUGCUUUAUCACAGCCAUCUGGCCAAAUUUUUUUUAGACUAUUCAUUAAGAGCAUGAUUAGCACAUAUUGAAUGAUAGUAUAAAUAUUUUUAAACUUUUAUAUGCACUAGAAAAUGAAAAACGGCUGUGAUUUGCUUCACAACAGUGGUAUGAAACAUAACAGCUAUAAUUAUGAAGUAUACCUGUAUCUGAGAUUCUUUGAUUUUCAUAUGCUGCAUUGUUUGUUGAACUCAAAUGGCCUUCAUGUUAUAUUUUCUCAAAAAUUUAUGAUACUUUUAACUAUAUUGCAGCUUUCACUCAAAAUAAUGCCAUUUGUCGAGAAAAAGGAUAGAAUGAUCAAGCUGCC
RNAcentral lists this long non-coding RNA (965 nucleotides) under Androctonus crassicauda. Lineage: Eukaryota; Metazoa; Arthropoda; Arachnida; Scorpiones; Buthidae. The record is from RNAcentral.